RNAcentral lists this transfer RNA (74 nucleotides) under Acholeplasma sp. RNAcentral's name for it is "tRNA-Gly". It matches the Rfam family "tRNA". From Rfam's summary of the family: Transfer RNA (tRNA) molecules are approximately 80 nucleotides in length. Their secondary structure includes four short double-helical elements and three loops (D, anti-codon, and T loops). RNAcentral also lists the same sequence under 2 other names. The record is from RNAcentral. Lineage: Bacteria; Bacillati; Mycoplasmatota; Mollicutes; Acholeplasmatales; Acholeplasmataceae.
GCGGGUGUAGUUCAAUGGUAGAACCCCAGCCUUCCAAGCUGAUGACGUCGGUUCGAUCCCGAUCACCCGCUCCA